Molecule: long non-coding RNA, 196 nt
Organism: Hibiscus syriacus
Lineage: Eukaryota; Viridiplantae; Streptophyta; Magnoliopsida; Malvales; Malvaceae
Exons: 3
Source: RefSeq, a predicted model, not a curated record
UUAAAUUAAGAAAAGUGGUUGAGGUUUGUAUACCGACCGGGUAAGGCAAUGAAGCCAUCAGAUUGUCUAGCCAUCUCAGCUUUUCUUUGGUGCAUGUCUGCUACUGCCUUAACUUCCCCUACUGUUUCUCCAGUGAUCUGCAAAUGUUUGAUCAAAGACAAUACAAAGCAAAAAAAAAUAAAAAGAACAAGCUUCU